This 77-nucleotide transfer RNA is filed under the name Alishewanella phage vB_AspM_Slicko01. RNAcentral's name for it is "tRNA-Pro". It matches the Rfam family "tRNA". Rfam says of the family: Transfer RNA (tRNA) molecules are approximately 80 nucleotides in length. Their secondary structure includes four short double-helical elements and three loops (D, anti-codon, and T loops). RNAcentral also lists the same sequence under 1 other name. Lineage: Duplodnaviria; Heunggongvirae; Uroviricota; Caudoviricetes. The record is from RNAcentral.
CGGUGUGUGGCUCAGUUUGGUAGAGUAUUCCGUUUGGGGCGGAAGGGUCGUAGGUUCGAAUCCUACCACACCGACCA